RNAcentral lists this ribosomal RNA (853 nucleotides) under uncultured Bacillota bacterium. Its description in RNAcentral is "bacterial SSU rRNA". It matches the Rfam family "Bacterial small subunit ribosomal RNA", at positions 41 to 889 of the family's 1533-position model. Lineage: Bacteria; Bacillati; Bacillota. The record is from RNAcentral.
GGACAGACUCUUUGAAAUGAAAGUGCUUGCACCGGAUUUGAUUUGGAUUUCUGUUAGUGGCGAACGGGUGAGUAACACGUGGGCAACCUGCCCCUUAGUUGAGGAUCACUAUUGGAAACGAUAGCUAAUACUGAAUACGAUGUACAAACGCAUGUGAGUACAUUGAAAGAAGCGUUUGCUUCGCUAAGGGAUGGGCCUGCGGUGCAUUAGCUAGUUGGUACAGUAACGGCGUACCAAGGCGACGAUGCAUAUCCGGGCUGAGAGGCUGAACGGACACAUUGGGACUGAGACACGGCCCAAACUUCUACGGAAGGCUGCAGUAGGGAAUUUUUCGCAAUGGGCGCAAGCCUGACGAAGCAAUGCCGCGUGAGGGAUGAAGGUUUUCGGAUUGUAAACCUCUGUUAUAAGGGAAGAAAACCUAGCAUAGGAAAUGAUACUAGCUUGACGGUACCUUAUCAGAAAGGGACGGCUAACUACGUGCCAGCAGCCGCGGUAAUACGUAGGUCCCGAGCGUUAUCCGGAAUUAUUGGGCGUAAAGAGCAUGUAGGCGGUCUAUUAAGUCUGGUGUGAAAUCUAGUGGCUCAACCACUAAAUUGCAUUGGAAACUGAUAAACUAGAAUACUGGAGGGGCAAGUGGAAUUCCAUGUGUAGCGGUGGAAUGCGUAGAUAUAUGGAGGAACACCAAUGGCGAAGCAGCUUGCUGGACAGUAAUUGACGCUGAAUGCGAAAGCGUGGGUAGCAAACAGGAUUAGAUACCCUGGUAGUCCACGCCGUAAACGAUGAGUGCUAGGCAUUGGGAUAACUCAGUGCCGAAGCUAACGCAUUAAGCACUCCGCCUGGGGAGUACGGUCGC